AACGCGUGAGCAACAUCGCCCGUACGUCAGGGGAGUAACCGAUGGAAACGUCGCCGUAAUACCCCGUAACAACGGAUCCCGCAUGAGAUCUGUUUGAAAGCUCCGGUCGGAGACGGAUUGGCUCGCGUGACAUUAGCUAGUUGCGGGGUAACGGCCCACCAAGGCGACGAUGUCUAGGGGUUCUGAGAGGAAGGUCCCCCACACUGGAACUGAGACACGGUCCAGACUCCUACGGGAGGCAGCAGUGAGGAAUAUUGGUCAAUGGACGCAAGUCUGAACCAGCCAUGCCGCGUGCAGGAAUGAGGCCCUAUGGGUCGUAAAACUGCUUUUGCUGCGGAGCAAUAAGGUCUACGUGUAGUCCCAUGAGAGUACGCAGCGAAUAAGCAUCGGCUAACUCCGUGCC
RNAcentral lists this ribosomal RNA (403 nucleotides) under uncultured bacterium. RNAcentral's name for it is "bacterial SSU rRNA". It matches the Rfam family "Bacterial small subunit ribosomal RNA", at positions 112 to 509 of the family's 1533-position model. The record is from RNAcentral.